This is a small nucleolar RNA of Amblyraja radiata (thorny skate), 70 nucleotides long. RefSeq annotates it as small nucleolar RNA SNORD82. The transcript has a single exon. The record is from RefSeq and is a predicted model, not a curated record. NCBI's taxonomy places the organism in Eukaryota, Metazoa, Chordata, Chondrichthyes, Rajiformes, Rajidae.
UGCACAUGUGAUGACCAUCAGAAGGGACUUAAUACUGAACCGUGUGAUGCUGUAUUUAUUUCUGAUGUGU